AAGUCUUGACAUCCCCCUGACGGGCAGGUAAUGCUGCCGUUCCUUCGGGACAGGGGAGACAGGUGGUGCAUGGUUGUCGUCAGCUCGUGUCGUGAGAUGUUGGGUUAAGUCCCGCAACGAGCGCAACCCCUAUCUUCAGUAGCCAGCACGCGAUGGUGGGCACUCUGGAGAGACUGCCAGGGAUAACCUGGAGGAAGGUGGGGAUGACGUCAAAUCAUCAUGCCCCUUAUGACUUGGGCUACACACGUGCUACAAUGGCGUAAACAAAGGGAAGCGAGCCUGCGAGGGGGAGCGAAUCCCAAAAAUAACGUCCCAGUUCGGACUGCAGUCUGCAACUCGACUGCACGAAGCUGGAAUCGCUAGUAAUCGCGAAUCAGUAUGUCGCGGUGAAUACGUUCCCGGGUC
This 405-nucleotide ribosomal RNA is filed under the name uncultured bacterium. RNAcentral's name for it is "bacterial SSU rRNA". It matches the Rfam family "Bacterial small subunit ribosomal RNA", at positions 976 to 1380 of the family's 1533-position model. The record is from RNAcentral.